AGUGAACGCUGGCGGCGUGCCUAAUACAUGCAAGUCGAACGGAGAUUAAGUAGCUUGCUAUUUAAUCUUAGUGGCGCACGGGUGAGUAAUAUAUAGCUAACUUGCCCAUUACUAAGGGACAACAGUUGGAAACGACUGCUAAUACCUUAUACUCCGUAUCUAUAUAAGUAGAUACGGGAAAGUUUUUCGGUAAUGGAUAGGGCUAUAUCGUAUCAGCUAGUUGGUAAGGUAAUGGCUUACCAAGGCUAUGACGCGUAACCGGUCUGAGAGGAUGAUCAGUCACACUGGAACGGAGACACGGUCCAGACUCCUACGGGAGGCAGCAGUAGGGAAUAUUGCUCAAUGGGGGAAACCCUGAAGCAGCAACGCCGCGUGGAGGAUGACACUUUUCGGAGCGUAAACUCCUUUUCUUGGGAAAGAAUUAUGACGGUACCCAAGGAAUAAGCACCGGCUAACUCCGUG
This 462-nucleotide ribosomal RNA is filed under the name uncultured bacterium. Its description in RNAcentral is "partial 16S ribosomal RNA". It matches the Rfam family "Bacterial small subunit ribosomal RNA", at positions 29 to 507 of the family's 1533-position model. The record is from RNAcentral.